GGUUAAGUUAGAAAGGGCGCACGGUGGAUGCCUUGGCACUAGGAGCCGAUGAAGGACGGGACGAACACCGAUAUGCUUCGGGGAGCUGUAAGCAAGCUUUGAUCCGGAGAUUUCCGAAUGGGGAAACCCACCACUCGUAAUGGAGUGGUAUCCAUAUCUGAAUACAUAGGAUAUGAGAAGGCAGACCCGGGGAACUGAAACAUCUAAGUACCCGGAGGAAGAGAAAGCAAAUGCGAUUCCCUGAGUAGCGGCGAGCGAAACGGGACCAGCCCAAACCAAGAGGCUUGCCUCUUGGGGUUGUAGGACACUCUGUACGGAGUUACAAAGGAACGAGGUAGAUGAAGAGGUCUGGAAAGGCCCGCCAUAGGAGGUAACAGCCCUGUAGUCAAAACUUCGUUCUCUCCUGAGUGGAUCCUGAGUACGGCGGAACACGUGAAAUUCCGUCGGAAUCCGGGAGGACCAUCUCCCAAGGCUAAAUACUCCCUAGUGACCGAUAGUGAACCAGUACCGUGAGGGAAAGGUGAAAAGCACCCCGGAAGGGGAGUGAAAGAGAUCCUGAAACCGUGUGCCUACAAGUAGUCAGAGCCCGUUAACGGGUGAUGGCGUGCCUUUUGUAGAAUGAACCGGCGAGUUACGAUCCCGUGCAAGGUUAAGCAGAAGAUGCGGAGCCGCAGCGAAAGCGAGUCUGAAUAGGGCGAAUUGAGUACGUGGUCGUAGACCCGAAACCAGGUGAUCUACCCAUGUCCAGGGUGAAGUUCAGGUAACACUGAAUGGAGGCCCGAACCCACGCACGUUGAAAAGUGCGGGGAUGAGGUGUGGGUAGGGGUGAAAUGCCAAUCGAACCUGGAGAUAGCUGGUUCUCUCCGAAAUAGCUUUAGGGCUAGCCUCAAGGUAAGAGUCUCGGAGGUAGAGCACUGAUUGGACUAGGGGCCCUACCGGGUUACCGAAUUCAGUCAAACUCCGAAUGCCGAUGACUUAUCCUUGGGAGUCAGACUGCGAGUGAUAAGAUCCGUAGUCGAAAGGGAAACAGCCCAGACCGCCAGCUAAGGUCCCAAAGUAUACGUUAAGUGGAAAAGGAUGUGGAGUUGCUUAGACAACCAGGAUGUUGGCUUAGAAGCAGCCACCAUUUAAAGAGUGCGUAAUAGCUCACUGGUCGAGUGACUCUGCGCCGAAAAUGUACCGGGGCUAAACGUAUCACCGAAGCUGCGGACUGUUCUUCGAACAGUGGUAGGAGAGCGUUCUAAGGGCUGUGAAGCAAGACCGGAAGGACUUGUGGAGCGCUUAGAAGUGAGAAUGCCGGUAUGAGUAGCGAAAGAGGGGUGAGAAUCCCCUCCACCGAAUGCCUAAGGUUUCCUGAGGAAGGCUCGUCCGCUCAGGGUUAGUCGGGACCUAAGCCGAGGCCGAAAGGCGUAGGCGAUGGAUAACAGGUUGAUAUUCCUGUACCACCUCCUCACCAUUUGAGCAAUGGGGGGACGCAGGAGGAUAGGGUAAGCGCGGUAUUGGAUAUCCGCGUCCAAGCAGUUAGGCUGGGAAAUAGGCAAAUCCGUUUCCCGUGAAGGCUGAGCUGUGAUGGCGAGCGAAUUAUAGUAGCGAAGUUCCUGAUUCCACACUGCCAAGAAAAGCCUCUAGCGAGGUGAGAGGUGCCCGUACCGCAAACCGACACAGGUAGGCGAGGAGAGAAUCCUAAGGUGAUCGAGAGAACUCUCGUUAAGGAACUCGGCAAAAUGACCCGUAACUUCGGGAGAAGGGGUGCUCUGUUAGGGUGAAAGCCCGAGAGAGCCGCAGUGAAUAGGCCCAGGCGACUGUUUAGCAAAAACACAGGUCUCUGCGAAGCCGUAAGGCGAAGUAUAGGGGCUGACGCCUGCCGGUGCUGGAAGGUUAAGAGGAGCGCUUAGCGUAAGCGAAGGUGCGAAUUGAAGCCCCAGUAAACGGCGGCCGUAACUAUAACGGUCCUAAGGUAGCGAAAUUCCUUGUCGGGUAAGUUCCGACCCGCACGAAAGGCGCAACGAUCUGGGCACUGUCUCAACGAGAGACUCGGUGAAAUUAUAGUACCUGUGAAGAUGCAGGUUACCCGCGACAGGACGGAAAGACCCGUGGAGCUUUACUGCAGCCUGAUAUUGAAUGUUGGUACAGCUUGUACAGGAUAGGUAGGAGCCUUGGAAACCGGAGCGCCAGCUUCGGUGGAGGCAUCGGUGGGAUACUACCCUGGCUGUAUUGACCUUCUAACCCGCCGCCCUUAUCGGGCGGGGAGACAGUGUCAGGUGGGCAGUUUGACUGGGGCGGUCGCCUCCUAAAAGGUAACGGAGGCGCCCAAAGGUUCCCUCAGAAUGGUUGGAAAUCAUUCGCAGAGUGUAAAGGCACAAGGGAGCUUGACUGCGAGACCUACAAGUCGAGCAGGGACGAAAGUCGGGCUUAGUGAUCCGGUGGUUCCGCAUGGAAGGGCCAUCGCUCAACGGAUAAAAGCUACCCCGGGGAUAACAGGCUUAUCUCCCCCAAGAGUCCACAUCGACGGGGAGGUUUGGCACCUCGAUGUCGGCUCAUCGCAUCCUGGGGCUGUAGUCGGUCCCAAGGGUUGGGCUGUUCGCCCAUUAAAGCGGUACGCGAGCUGGGUUCAGAACGUCGUGAGACAGUUCGGUCCCUAUCCGUCGCGGGCGCAGGAAAUUUGAGAGGAGCUGUCCUUAGUACGAGAGGACCGGGAUGGACGCACCGCUGGUGUACCAGUUGUUCUGCCAAGGGCAUCGCUGGGUAGCUAUGUGCGGACGGGAUAAGUGCUGAAAGCAUCUAAGCAUGAAGCCCCCCUCAAGAUGAGAUUUCCCAUUCCGCAAGGAAGUAAGAUCCCUGAAAGAUGAUCAGGUUGAUAGGUCUGAGGUGGAAGUGUGGCGACACAUGGAGCUGACAGAUACUAAUCGAUCGAGGACUUAACCAA
Molecule: ribosomal RNA, 2926 nt
Filed under: Bacillus velezensis
Lineage: Bacteria; Bacillati; Bacillota; Bacilli; Caryophanales; Bacillaceae
Description: 23S ribosomal RNA
Rfam family: Bacterial large subunit ribosomal RNA
Source: RNAcentral